GAUGAACGCUAGCGGGAGGCCUAACACAUGCAAGCCGAGCGGUAUUUGUUCUUCGGAACAGAGAGAGCGGCGCACGGGUGCGGAACACGUGUGCAACCUGCCUUUAUCUGGGGGAUAGCCUUUCGAAAGGAAGAUUAAUACCCCAUAAUAUAUUGAGCGGCAUCAUUUGAUAUUGAAAACUCCGGUGGAUAUAUCUUGCCACACGCCAGAUUAGUUAGUUGGUGAGGUAACGGCUCACCAAGUCAAUGAACUUUAGGUGACCUGAGAAGGUGAUCCCACACACUGGUACUAAGACACGGACCAGACUCCUACGGGAGGCAGCAGUGAGGAAUAUUGGACAAUGGGUUCGCGCCUGAUCCAGCCAUCACGCGUGAAGGACGUCGGCCCUGUGGGUUGUAAACUUGUUUUGUAUAGGGAUAAACAUACGCGCGUGAGAGUAGCUGAAGGUACUAUACGAAUAGGCACGGGCUAACUCCGUG
Molecule: ribosomal RNA, 479 nt
Filed under: uncultured bacterium
Lineage: Bacteria
Description: partial 16S ribosomal RNA
Rfam family: Bacterial small subunit ribosomal RNA
Source: RNAcentral